UGGUGAUUGAUAUAUAAAAUCAGAUGAUGGAUAAAUAAAGUAAAGUGAUUGGUGUUUGUUAUUUGGUCAUGAACAUAGAGACUAUGGGGAUAGAUAUUGAGAGUUUGGGGAUAAAUAUAGAGAGUGUGUGGUGAUUGAUAUAUAAAGUGAGGUGAUGGAUAAAUAAAAUGAGGUGAUAGGUGUUUAUUGUGAGGUCAUAAACAUAGAGACUGUGGGGAUAGAUAUUGAAAGUAUUGGGAUAGAAAUAGAGAGUGUGUGGUGAUCAUUAUAUUAAGUGAGGUGAUGAAUAAAUAAAGUAAGGUGAUAGGUGUUUAAAAUGUGGUCAUAAACAUAGAGACUGUGGGGAUAUAUAUUGAGAGUAUGGGGAUAGAUAUAGAGAGUGUGUGGUGAUUGAUAUAUAAAAUUAGAUGAUGGAUAAAUAAAGUAAAGUGAUUGGUGUUUGUUAUUUGGUCAUAAACAUAGAGACUAUGGGGGUAGAUAUUGAGAGUUUGGGGAUAGAUAUAGAGAGUGUGUGGUGAUUCAUGUAUAAAGUGAGGUGAUUGAUUAAAAAAAGUAAGGUGGUAGGUGUUUAUGAUGUGGUCAUAAACAUAGAGACUGUGGGAAUACAUAUCGAGAGUAUGGGGAUAUAUAUAGUAAGUGUGUGGUGAUAAAUAUAUAAAGGGAGGUGAUGGAUAAAUAAAGUAAGGUGAUAGGUGUUGAUAAUGUGGUCAAAAACAUAGAGACUGUGGGUAUAGAUAUUGACAGUGUGGUGAGUGACACAGAGAUUAUGGGGAUAUAUAUAAAGAGUGUGUUGAUUGAUAUAUAAAGUGAGGUUAUUGAUAAAUAAAGUGUGGUGAUAGGUGUUUAUUAUAUGAAGAUAUACAGAGAGACUUUUGGGGUACACAAAAAAGAGUGGGG
RNAcentral lists this long non-coding RNA (897 nucleotides) under Mytilus galloprovincialis (Mediterranean mussel). Lineage: Eukaryota; Metazoa; Mollusca; Bivalvia; Mytilida; Mytilidae. The record is from RNAcentral.